Molecule: ribosomal RNA, 576 nt
Filed under: uncultured eukaryote
Lineage: Eukaryota
Description: bacterial SSU rRNA
Rfam family: Eukaryotic small subunit ribosomal RNA
Source: RNAcentral
UUUGUUACUUCAAACCAAUCGGACUUCGGUCUGACAUCAAGUGAUAUUGAACAAUUUAGCUGAUCGCACGGUCUAAGAACCGGCGACAUAUCCUUCAAAUGUCUGCCUUAUCAACUUUCGAUGGUAGAUUAUGCGCCUACCAUGGUUGUAACGGGUAACGGAGAAUCAGGGUUUGAUUCCGGAGAGGGAGCCUGAGAAACGGCUACCACAUCCAAGGAAGGCAGCAGGCACGCAAAUUACCCACUCCCGGCACGGGGAGGUAGUGACGAAAAAUAACAAGCUGGUCUCAAUGAGUUCCAGCAUUGUAAUGGGAACAAUUUAAAUCUUUUAUCGAGGAUCUAUUGGAGGGCAAGUCUGGUGCCAGCAGCCGCGGUAAUUCCAGCUCCAAUAGCGUAUAUUAAAGUUGUUGCAGUUAAAAAGCUCGUAGUCGGACCUCGGAUCCCGGCUCGCGGUCCACCUCGCGGUGGUUACUGCCCGUCCGGAUCUACCUGCCGGUUUUCCCUUGGUGCUCUUGACUGAGUGUCUCGGGUGGCCGGAACGUUUACUUUGAAAAAAUUAGAGUGUUCAAAGCAGGCG